CAAAGGAUAGUUUAUUUAAAAAUUCCGGUUUUGGGGAUCGGAGAGGAAGGUUUGAGUCCUUUUCUUUUGA
This 70-nucleotide transfer RNA is filed under the name Nilssonia formosa. Its description in RNAcentral is "tRNA-Pro". It matches the Rfam family "tRNA". From Rfam's summary of the family: Transfer RNA (tRNA) molecules are approximately 80 nucleotides in length. Their secondary structure includes four short double-helical elements and three loops (D, anti-codon, and T loops). Lineage: Eukaryota; Metazoa; Chordata; Testudines; Trionychidae. The record is from RNAcentral.